UAGGGAAUCUUCGGCAAUGGACGAAAGUCUGACCGAGCAACGCCGCGUGAGUGAAGAAGGUUUUCGGAUCGUAAAACUCUGUUGUUAGAGAAGAACAAGGACGUUAGUAACUGAACGUCCCCUGACGGUAUCUAACCAGAAAGCCACGGCUAACUACGUGCCAGCAGCCGCGGUAAGACGUAGGUGGCAAGCGUUGUCCGGAUUUAUUGGGCGUAAAGCGAGCGCAGGCGGUUUCUUAAGUCUGAUGUGAAAGCCCCCGGCUCAACCGGGGAGGGUCAUUGGAAACUGAGAGACUUGAGUGCAGAAGAGGAGGGUGGAAUUCCAUGUGUAGCGGUGAAAUGCGUAGAUAUAUGGAGGAACACCAGUGGCGAAGGCGGCUCUCUGGUCUGUAACUGACGUUGAGGGUCGAAAGCGUGGGGAGCAAACAGG
RNAcentral lists this ribosomal RNA (429 nucleotides) under Gemmatimonadota bacterium. RNAcentral's name for it is "Gemmatimonadetes bacterium partial 16S ribosomal RNA". It matches the Rfam family "Bacterial small subunit ribosomal RNA", at positions 355 to 776 of the family's 1533-position model. Lineage: Bacteria; Pseudomonadati; Gemmatimonadota. The record is from RNAcentral.